Molecule: unclassified non-coding RNA, 261 nt
Filed under: uncultured Chaetomiaceae
Lineage: Eukaryota; Fungi; Ascomycota; Sordariomycetes; Sordariales
Description: sequence contains ITS2
Rfam family: 5.8S ribosomal RNA (bases 1-52)
Source: RNAcentral
AACGCACAUUGCGCCCGCCAGUAUUCUGGCGGGCAUGCCUGUCCGAGCGUCAUUUCAACCAUCAAGCCCCCGGCUUGUGUUGGGGACCUGCGGCACACCCGCAGGCCCUGAAAACCAGUGGCGGGCUCGCUGUCCACACCGAGCGUAGUAGCAUAUCUUGUCUCGCUCAGGGCGUGCGGCGGGUUCCGGCCGUGAAACCCACCUUCUCGAAGGUACCCAAAGGUUGACCUCGGAUCAGGUAGGAAGACCCGCUGAACUUAA